This 745-nucleotide ribosomal RNA is filed under the name uncultured eukaryote. Its description in RNAcentral is "SSU rRNA". It matches the Rfam family "Eukaryotic small subunit ribosomal RNA", at positions 668 to 1426 of the family's 1831-position model. The record is from RNAcentral.
UACGGGUGUGCACUGUCGUGUCCGGUCCACGUCUGGUUUCAAUCUAUAGUGCUCUUAACCGGGUGCUAUAGAAUGCCAGAAAGUUUACUCUGAAAAAAUUAGAGUGCUUAAAGCAAGCCGUUGUGCUUGAAUACUGUUGCAUGGAAUAAUGGAAUAGGACCUCGGAUCUAUUUUGUUGGUUUUCGGAGUCGAGGUAAUGAUUAAGAGGGACAGACGGGGGCAUUCGUAUUGCGCCGUUAGAGGUGAAAUUCUUGGAUCGGCGCAAGACGAACAACUGCGAAAGCAUUUGCCAAGGAUGUUUUCAUUAAUCAAGAACGAAAGUCAGAGGUUCGAAGACGAUCAGAUACCGUCGUAGUUCUGACCAUAAACGAUGCCAACUGGCGAUCCGCCGUAGUCUGGCUUAAAGGACUCGGCGGGCAGCCUCCGGGAAACCUAAGUCUAUGGGUUCCGGGGGAAGUAUGGUUGCAAAGCUGAAACUUAAAGGAAUUGACGGAAGGGCACCACCAGGAGUGGAGCCUGCGGCUUAAUUUGACUCAACACGGGAAAACUCACCCGGCCAGGACACCGCAAGGAUUGACAGACUGAGAGCUCUUUCUUGAUUCGGUGGGUGGUGGUGCAUGGCCGUUCUUAGUUGGUGGAGCGAUUUGUCUGGUUAAUUCCGAUAACGAACGAGACUCUAGCCUGCUAAAUAGACGGGCGAUCCCAUUGUGGGUCGACCCGAUCAGCUUCUUAGAGGGACAAGUGG